Molecule: ribosomal RNA, 409 nt
Filed under: bacterium
Lineage: Bacteria
Description: partial 16S ribosomal RNA
Rfam family: Bacterial small subunit ribosomal RNA
Source: RNAcentral
UGGGGAAUAUUGCACAAUGGGCGAAAGCCUGAUGCAGCGACGCCGCGUGAGGGAUGACGGCCUUCGGGUUGUAAACCUCUUUCAGCAGGGACGAAGCGCAAGUGACGGUACCUGCAGAAGAAGCACCGGCUAACUACGUGCCAGCAGCCGCGGUAAUACGUAGGGUGCAAGCGUUGUCCGGAAUUACUGGGCGUAAAGAGUUCGUAGGCGGUUUGUCGCGUCGUUUGUGAAAACCAGCAGCUCAACUGCUGGCUUGCAGGCGAUACGGGCAGACUUGAGUACUGCAGGGGAGACUGGAAUUCCUGGUGUAGCGGUGAUAUGCGCAGAUAUCAGGAGGAACACCGGUGGCGAAGGCGGGUCUCUGGGCAGUAACUGACGCUGAGGAACGAAAGCGUGGGUAGCGAACAGG